Molecule: long non-coding RNA, 632 nt
Filed under: Homo sapiens (human)
Lineage: Eukaryota; Metazoa; Chordata; Mammalia; Primates; Hominidae
Description: novel transcript
Source: RNAcentral
CCUAAGUCAGACUUUCUCCAAGAAAAAAAAAAAAAGAAACUCUAAGGAGACCCUAUUUUUUAUUCUUCUAAGUAGUUAAAAUUAGAAAUCACAGCAAGUCAACAGGAAGCUCUCCUCUGCCAGUCUCCUAAAUCACAAUAUGGCCUUGUCGUGGCUGGAGUAUUUCAAAGGCUCAGUCCCACUCCAGAAUCGGCCCUGUCGCCUCCGCCCGCACUCCAGAGCCGGCUGAGAACCGCAGCGGCGCGGGAUCCACGUGCAGCGUCUCUCCAGGAGAUCAAAGUACUCCAAAAAUGCAGCUGCUUCAGUGACAAGAGGGAAUUACCUUCUCCCAAGCCUCAGGAUCCUGGUACCCGACUUGCCUGCCCCAGGCUCACUCCCAUUCACACAGUCCUUCAUGGCAGUGUCCAGCUUCACCAGGUCAAAGCUACCUAGAUGUCAUCAUACAAAUUACAGGCUAUGACGUCCACCUCAUUCUCUUUCUGGAAGGCUGACCUUAACUGUCCUGCACAUUCCUUACACAGCAUAUUUGCCCUUUUCCUAUACUAAUAAGCCCUAAAUCUUGGGGGUAACAGCCUGGGGAACUACCUGUCUUGCUACCACUCAAGACCAUACUUCUGUCCACAAAUUCCCCC